GUGGAACACCAAGACAAAUGGCUAGAAACCUUGUACAUGAAAACAGUGGCCCACCCAAAGUUUGUCUUUUCCUAGGAAGUUAUAGAGAAAUGAGGAGGUAUCAGAAGAGCAGUCAAUAAAAGAAAAAUUUCUUUGAAAGACAUAUGGGUGGGAUGAGAACGAAUGAUUCUUACUUUAUCUGUAGAAAUUGAAUUUUGCUGCAACUAAGAGAGACCUGGAAAAUAGUGAUUUACACAAAUAAAAUUUUGUUCUCUCAAGAAAACUGAUACUCAGCAGUCCAGGCUGAUGAAGUGGCUUCAUGAGCUCUUCAGCAACCCAGGCACCUUCCAGGUCUUCUUUGCCAAUUCUAGUGCUAGUAACUCCUUCAUCUCAUCAUCCAACAUGGCUGCCAGAGCUUCAGACAUCACGUGUACAUCUGAGUUCCAGGAAACCAGACAGAGGGAGAAAAGAAGGGCAUAUACGCUCACUUUAAAGAAGACUUCUAAGAAGAAUCACCUAAAAUUCCCCAACCUAGUCCCAAAGCUCACUUGGCUGCUUUCAAGCCUGGAAAAUGCAGUCUUUAAGCUGAAAAAUGCUAUGACAAAAUCAGAGAUUGACCAUGCCUACAGGGACAACUGGAAAACAAAUGAAACCAUAAAACCAAGCACUCACGAAAUCUUUGUCCUCCCAGUUGACUUAAGAAUACUUGCGAAGAAAAUGUGGCCUCUUUAGAUCUCAGAUCCCUUGUUUCCAACUGGUUCAAAUAAAUAGAAAACUCUUCAUUCCUAUGGUACUUCUUAGAGAUAAACCACACGCAUGUAUCAGAGAAAA
RNAcentral lists this long non-coding RNA (810 nucleotides) under Pongo abelii (Sumatran orangutan). RNAcentral's name for it is "lincRNA". Lineage: Eukaryota; Metazoa; Chordata; Mammalia; Primates; Hominidae. The record is from RNAcentral.